This 338-nucleotide ribosomal RNA is filed under the name Dichelobius bicuspis. RNAcentral's name for it is "partial 12S ribosomal RNA". The record is from RNAcentral. Lineage: Eukaryota; Metazoa; Arthropoda; Chilopoda; Lithobiomorpha; Henicopidae.
UGUAGUAUUAAAUUUUAUUAUAGAGUAGUAAUAGAGAGCUUGAAACUUAAAGAGUUUGGCGGUAUUUAAGACUUUUUAGAGGAACCUGUAGUUUAAUCGAUAAUCCACGUGGUAUCUGACCUGAAGAUAUAAGUAUGUAUAUCGUUGUUUAGAAUAAUUUUGAAGAAUAUUUUCAGAAAAUUUUUGGUUUAAAUAACAAAUCAAGGUGCAGCUAUAUUUAGGUAUGAAUGGGUUACAUUAUUUUGUAUAAACGGAUUAUUUAAUGAAAUAGAAUAUGAAGGUGGAUUUAUAUGUAAAAUAUUUUUAAUAAAAAUAUUUGAAUUAGUACUGAAGUAUGC